RNAcentral lists this microRNA precursor (75 nucleotides) under Tursiops truncatus (common bottlenose dolphin). RNAcentral describes it as "miRNA (ENSTTRG00000024639.1)". The record is from RNAcentral. Lineage: Eukaryota; Metazoa; Chordata; Mammalia; Artiodactyla; Delphinidae.
GGUUGGCCAAAAAGUUCGUUCAGGUUUUUCCAUAAGAUUAUGGAAAAACCCAAAACAACUUUUUGGCCAGCCCAA